CCAGACUCCUACGGGAGGCAGCAGUGAGGAAUAUUGGUCAAUGGCCGAGAGGCUGAACCAGCCAAGUCGCGUGAGGGAAGAAUGUCCUAUGGAUUGUAAACCUCUUUUGUCAGGGAGCAAAGUCACCCACGUGUGGGUGUUGGAGAGUACCUGAAGAAAAAGCAUCGGCUAACUCCGUGCCAGCAGCCGCGGUAAUACGUAGGGGGCAAGCGUUAUCCGGAUUUACUGGGUGUAAAGGGAGCGUAGACGGUGCAGCAAGUCUGAUGUGAAAGGUCGGGGCCCAACCCCGGGACUGCAUUGGAAACUGUUGAACUGGAGUACAGGAGAGGUAAGCGGAAUUCCUAGUGUAGCGGUGAAAUGCGUAGAUAUUAGGAGGAACACCAGUGGCGAAGGCGGCUUACUGGACUGUAACUGACGCUGAGGCACGAAGGCCAGGGGAGCGAAAGGGAUUAGAUACCCUCGUAAA
This 466-nucleotide ribosomal RNA is filed under the name uncultured bacterium. Its description in RNAcentral is "bacterial SSU rRNA". It matches the Rfam family "Bacterial small subunit ribosomal RNA", at positions 331 to 794 of the family's 1533-position model. The record is from RNAcentral.